CCUACGGGGGGCUGCAGUGGGGAAUAUUGGACAAUGGGCGAAAGCCUGAUCCAGCCAUGCCGCGUGUGUGAAGAAGGCCUUUUGGUUGUAAAGCACUUUAAGCGAGGAGGAGGCUACCGAGAUUAAUACUCUUGGAUAGUGGACGUUACUCGCAGAAUAAGCACCGGCUAACUCUGUGCCAGCAGCCGCGGUAAUACAGAGGGUGCGAGCGUUAAUCGGAUAUACUGGGCGUAAAGCGUGCGUAGGCGGUUUUUUAAGUCGGAUGUGAAAUCCCUGAGCUUAACUUAGGAAUUGCAUUCGAUACUGGGAAGCUAGAGUAUGGGAGAGGAUGGUAGAAUUCCAGGUGUAGCGGUGAAAUGCGUAGAGAUCUGGAGGAAUACCGAUGGCGAAGGCAGCCAUCUGGCCUAAUACUGACGCUGAGGUACGAAAGCAUGGGGAGCAAACAGGAUUAGAUACCCCUGUAGUC
This 466-nucleotide ribosomal RNA is filed under the name uncultured Acinetobacter sp. RNAcentral's name for it is "bacterial SSU rRNA". It matches the Rfam family "Bacterial small subunit ribosomal RNA", at positions 338 to 795 of the family's 1533-position model. The record is from RNAcentral. Lineage: Bacteria; Pseudomonadati; Pseudomonadota; Gammaproteobacteria; Moraxellales; Moraxellaceae.